UAGGGAAUAUUGCAAAAUGGGCGAAAGCCCGAUGCAGCAACGCCGCGUGGGCGAUGAAGGCCUUCGGGUCGUAAAGCCCUUUUUGAGGGGAUGAGGAAGGACAGUACCCUCAGAAUAAGCCUCGGCUAACUACGUGCCAGCAGCCGCGGUAAAACGUAGGAGGCGAGCGUUAUUCGGAUUUACUGGGCGUAAAGCGCGUGCAGGCGGAUUGGAGAGUUGGAUGUGAAAGCUCCCGGCUUAACUGGGAGAGGUCGUUCAAUACUUCCAGUCUUGAGUGCAGUAGAGGGAAGUGGAAUUCCGGGUGUAGUGGUGAAAUGCGUAGAUAUCCGGAGGAACACCAGUGGCGAAAGCGGCUUCCUGGACUGUAACUGACGCUCAGACGCGAAAGCUAGGGUAGCAAACG
This 403-nucleotide ribosomal RNA is filed under the name uncultured bacterium. Its description in RNAcentral is "bacterial SSU rRNA". It matches the Rfam family "Bacterial small subunit ribosomal RNA", at positions 355 to 774 of the family's 1533-position model. The record is from RNAcentral.